Non-coding RNA from Triticum aestivum (bread wheat), 114 nucleotides. The record is from Rfam. NCBI's taxonomy places the organism in Eukaryota, Viridiplantae, Streptophyta, Magnoliopsida, Poales, Poaceae.
CUUGUACUCCCUCCGUCCGAAAAUACUUGUCGUGAAAUGGAUGUAUCUAGAUGUAUUUUAGUUCUAGACACAUCCAUUUUGAUGAUAAGUAAUUCCGGACGGACGGAGUAGUUG